CAAACAGUUGAUCCAGAAUUUUGUAAUUGACAUUGAAGAGAAAUAUUUAGAUGCAUUGCUAGAUGCAUUGCUAUUGACGUUGCUAAUAUAUGUCGAUAAAUCAUACAGUGAAUUAGGAUGAAUUCUUAUGAGGACUCAUUCUAUACCAAAGAUAGAACCUCUAGACCGACAUCCAAGCAUACUUAGAGCACCAUCUGUUCAGAUGCCACAAUUAUUUUUCCAAGAAGUCUUUUGCUUUUUCAAAUUUAACCAACUUUGUCAAUUACAUCAGGUGCUGUAGAGGUCGUUUAUAGAGUUUUGCAUUGAAACUAAUCUUUGAAAAUCUCCUUUGUGUAUACUGGUAUAUCUUACCGGAACUAGUAAUUGUGAACAAUUUACAACGCCUGUGGAUUCAUCAAGCUGGAUGCUAAAUAUUGUAAAAGAAGCAGAUAUCAUUUCCUUAAUAUCAGAAGACAUGUCAACUAAUCUCCUGUAAAUAGUGUCAUUAUUUAUGCAAAUUACACUAAAUUUAUUAAUAAAUUUGGCUCCAAUCAUAUCUUUAGCCACUGACAAUAACUGCUUGGUAGUGGUGUGAGGUUUCAGAACUCUGGCGAUUCUGACAGCUACCAAACAAGAAGAUUCAUAGGCUGAUAUGUUUCAAUUAUGGUACUUGCCAUAUGAGUCUAAACCAUCUAAACUAAACCACUGUAUGUCAUAAUCGGCAAAGUUCGGAUGUUUGUUCGACCUCAAUACAUAUGGCAGAGAGAACUUCAUUACAAAUGUUGCAUCGGGUUUCUGCUAAAACUAUACCGCAAAAAAAAAAUAUUAAAAAAUCGUCAUUCUCUUUUAUUUUAUUAACCUUCUUUUGUUACAAGUCCGUGUUCAUGAGUUGUUACAUAAUGAACUUUUUUCCAUUGACUAUAAUACGAUGGCGUAUUUAUUAAUUGAAUUUUCUUCACUACGUGAUUAUAUCUUCACCAAAGAAAUGUUUGAUCCCACAAUGGUGUUUCGAUGCAUUGAUAGACAGUAAAUUUAUUUCUUGAAAAAUAUAUUUUGCAACAACAAAGAUGUGGUCUGUAACAUCGAUUUUUGAAUGACAAUUAUAAAAAAAAAGAAACACAAAGAAGAACAAAUAAAAAUAACAAACUACUAUCAAACAAGGAUGUUACAUUCACUAAAAGUACCCUCUGUAUCGUCUUGCAAUAUAUAGGAAAAGUGAAGACUGUGUGUGGAAGUUUGCCAGAGGCAAGCUUUGGAUUUCUUUCAUAGAGCAAGGGACAACACUCUCAAUACCUUUUGAUAUCAUUCCAACACCUAUAGCUGUGGUGAGACUAUUUCGAGGUCUCAGGAAUGUAUUUCUUAUCAAUUGGUAAUCAUGCAUCACAUGCCCUCAGAUAUGUACACAAAAUGAAGUUUGAGGAGAAAGAGAAAGGAUCAAGAUGAUUUACAAGACACUAAAGUUAUCUAUCAACUAUACUCAAUGUAUGAAUGACUUGCAGCCAGACUAGAAUUAUAGAGAAAGAUGUUUUUCUGCUGGCUAAACAUGUAUGGAUUGUUUUGAGUUUUGCAAGUGCUGCUGUUGUCUAGGCAAUUCUGGCCAGUAGUUCCGGUUUUGGUUUCUUCAUCUGAGACAAAAACUCCAAGGGUCUGUUCCAUCACAUCCAGUCAAUAAAGGAAUAAUAUCUAUGAUGUCAGACAACAAUAAAGAUCCAUUUCUGUAGAAGAAGAUCUCACUACCAUGAACACUCUAGGGCUAGGGAGACAUGAACUACAUGAAGACAAUUUUGGGAUGGAGGAAACCACACAGAGACUUCAAUGGGGAACAAAAGUCAAAUGGAGUGUGUUCAAAGUUAGCAUUCAAUUCUUGUCACUCAAUUCUCCAUGAUAUGUUUACAGGGAGACUAAACAUUUUUGGACAUGAUGCCAGUAAAAUGAGAAAAUAGAGUGGAAGAGAGUCCAUAGUUUGUUUUGCUCCCGAUUCAAUAGAGAACAAAGUUAAGAUUAGCAAUGGAGAUAAAAGGAAUCUCUAAAACAAUAAUUCUUAUCAAAAUCCAACAAUCUCUAUUCAAAAUAUUAAUCUAAGCAGUAACAUGACAACUAUUUGAACCAAAGAGUGAAGCUCACGUGAGGACAGUUUUCAACACUAGAGUUACAGUACUAGUCCUCGGUGGAAUCAAGGAGUCAUUAAAGAAUCAUUCUGGAAGAUCAAAUUAAUACAAGCACUGAACAGCAGACAGGAAUGGAAAAUAUGGCCAACAGAUCAUGUGUGGUGCCCCAAUGGUCCAACAACUUAGGGAUAGGUGAAUGUGAUAAUACAUAAUAGAUAAUGAUGCAGAGUAUUUCCUGGUGAUCAUGAAUUAGGAGCUGCACACAGUUUAAUGAAACCAUAUUUUAGGAACAGAUAGAAAACAAAGAACUGCAGCAAAGAUGGCCUGUUUUUAUUCUUCUUCAU
Long non-coding RNA from Biomphalaria glabrata, 2431 nucleotides. RefSeq lists it as uncharacterized. Lineage: Eukaryota; Metazoa; Mollusca; Gastropoda; Planorbidae. The record is from RefSeq and is a predicted model, not a curated record. The transcript is spliced from 11 exons.